This 460-nucleotide ribosomal RNA is filed under the name uncultured bacterium. RNAcentral describes it as "partial 16S ribosomal RNA". It matches the Rfam family "Bacterial small subunit ribosomal RNA", at positions 338 to 795 of the family's 1533-position model. The record is from RNAcentral.
CCUACGGGAGGCUGCAGUGAGGAAUAUUGGUCAAUGGACGAGAGUCUGAACCAGCCAAGUAGCGUGAAGGAUGACUGCCCUAUGGGUUGUAAACUUCUUUUAUAUGGGAAUAAAGUGUUCCACGUGUGGGUUUUUGUAUGUACCAUAUGAAUAAGGAUCGGCUAACUCCGUGCCAGCAGCCGCGGUAAUACGGAGGAUCCGAGCGUUAUCCGGAUUUAUUGGGUUUAAAGGGAGCGUAGGUGGGUUGUUAAGUCAGUUGUGAAAGUUUGGGGCUCAACCGUAAAAUUGCAGUUGAAACUGGCAGUCUUGAGUGCGCUGGAGGUAGGCGGAAUUCGUGGUGUAGCGGUGAAAUGCUUAGAUAUCACGAAGAACUCCGAUUGCGAAGGCAGCUCACUGGACUGCAACUGACACUGAGGCUCGAAAGUGUGGGUAUCAAACAGGAUUAGAUACCCUUGUAGUC